This 77-nucleotide transfer RNA is filed under the name Campylobacter sp. LR185c. RNAcentral describes it as "tRNA-Arg". It matches the Rfam family "tRNA". Rfam says of the family: Transfer RNA (tRNA) molecules are approximately 80 nucleotides in length. Their secondary structure includes four short double-helical elements and three loops (D, anti-codon, and T loops). Further hydrogen bonds mediate the characteristic L-shaped molecular structure. tRNAs have two regions of fundamental functional importance: the anti-codon, which is responsible for specific mRNA codon recognition, and the 3' end, to which the tRNAs corresponding amino acid is attached (by aminoacyl-tRNA synthetases). tRNAs cope with the degeneracy of the genetic code in two manners: having more than one tRNA (with a specific anti-codon) for a particular amino acid; and 'wobble' base-pairing, i.e. permitting non-standard base-pairing at the 3rd anti-codon position. RNAcentral also lists the same sequence under 3 other names. Lineage: Bacteria; Pseudomonadati; Campylobacterota; Epsilonproteobacteria; Campylobacterales; Campylobacteraceae. The record is from RNAcentral.
GCGCUCUUAGCUCAGCUGGAUAGAGCAUUUGAUUGCGGUUCAAAAGGCCAGAGGUUCGAAUCCCCUAGAGCGCGCCA